GACGAACGCUGGCGGCGUGCCUAAUACAUGCAAGUAGAACGCUGAAGGAGGAGCUUGCUUCUCUGGAUGAGUUGCGAACGGGUGAGUAACGCGUAGGUAACCUGCCUGGUAGCGGGGGAUAACUAUUGGAAACGAUAGCUAAUACCGCAUAAGAGUAGAUGUUGCAUGACAUUUGCUUAAAAGGUGCAAAUGCAUCACUACCAGAUGGACCUGCGUUGUAUUAGCUAGUUGGUGGGGUAACGGCUCACCAAGGCGACGAUACAUAGCCGACCUGAGAGGGUGAUCGGCCACACUGGGACUGAGACACGGCCCAGACUCCUACGGGAGGCAGCAGUAGGGAAUCUUCGGCAAUGGACGGAAGUCUGACCGAGCAACGCCGCGUGAGUGAAGAAGGUUUUCGGAUCGUAAAGCUCUGUUGUAAGAGAAGAACGAGUGUGAGAGUGGAAAGUUCACACUGUGACGGUAUCUUACCAGAAAGGGACGGCUAACUACGUGCCAGCAGCCGCGGUAAUACGUAGGUCCCGAGCGUUGUCCGGAUUUAUUGGGCGUAAAGCGAGCGCAGGCGGUUAGAUAAGUCUGAAGUUAAAGGCUGUGGCUUAACCAUAGUAGGCUUUGGAAACUGUUUAACUUGAGUGCAAGAGGGGAGAGUGGAAUUCCAUGUGUAGCGGUGAAAUGCGUAGAUAUAUGGAGGAACACCGGUGGCGAAAGCGGCUCUCUGGCUUGUAACUGACGCUGAGGCUCGAAAGCGUGGGGAGCAAACAGG
Molecule: ribosomal RNA, 763 nt
Filed under: uncultured Streptococcus sp.
Lineage: Bacteria; Bacillati; Bacillota; Bacilli; Lactobacillales; Streptococcaceae
Description: bacterial SSU rRNA
Rfam family: Bacterial small subunit ribosomal RNA
Source: RNAcentral